RNAcentral lists this long non-coding RNA (539 nucleotides) under Callithrix jacchus (white-tufted-ear marmoset). RNAcentral's name for it is "lncRNA (ENSCJAG00000053462.2)". The record is from RNAcentral. Lineage: Eukaryota; Metazoa; Chordata; Mammalia; Primates; Cebidae.
GUUUAAACUCUGACAUGAUUUUCAUCUUAUUUGUAACACAAAAGGUGAUGCUGGAAUUCCACUCUAGAUCUACCUCCUCAGUUAAAAGGGCAGAACAGGCUGGGCACCGUGGCUCAAGCCUGUAAUCACAGAACUCUGGGAGGCCGAGGGUCUCACUUUGUUACUCAGGCUGAAGUGUGGUGACAUGAUCUCAGCUCACUGAAACCUCUGCCUCUGGUGCUCAAGUGAUUCUUCCAGCUCAGCCUCCUAAGUAAGUGGGACUACAGGCAAGCGCCACCCAACCAGCUGCUGAUCGAGUGAAUUUCUUUUCCUGUUACGUACUUAUGGAAAUAAUGAAGAUGUCUUGAAGCAUGAGUACUUUUUGCUCAUAUGAGACAACUAGGAUAAGAUUCACUCCAGAACUCCUGAUGAUUUUCCUCUCCUUCAAAUCAGCAAGCAGUGCAGGCUUCUCAAGGGGAAGUAUGGGAAACAGAGAUAGCAGGCCGUUGGCUGUCAAGUUGCUGGGUCAGCAUCCAAACUCAGGUCUGCCUGCCUACUGA